Molecule: ribosomal RNA, 479 nt
Filed under: uncultured bacterium
Lineage: Bacteria
Description: partial 16S ribosomal RNA
Rfam family: Bacterial small subunit ribosomal RNA
Source: RNAcentral
GAUGAACGCUAGCGGGAGGCCUAACACAUGCAAGCCGAGCGGUAGAGUUUCUUCGGAAACUUGAGAGCGGCGCACGGGUGCGUAACACGUGUGCAACCUACCUUUAUCUGGGGGAUAGCCUUUCGAAAGGAGGAUUAAUACCCCAUAAUAUAAUGAUUGGCAUCAAUUAUUAUUGAAAACUCCGGUGGAUAGAGAUGGGCACGCGCAAGAUUAGAUAGUUGGUGAGGUAACGGCUCACCAAGUCAAUGAUCUUUAGGGGUCCUGAGAGGGAGAUCCCCCACACUGGUACUGAGACACGGACCAGACUCCUACGGGAGGCAGCAGUGAGGAAUAUUGGACAAUGGGUGAGAGCCUGAUCCAGCCAUCCCGCGUGAAGGAUGACGGUCCUAGGGAUUGUAAACUUCUUUUGUACAGGGAUAAACCUACCCUCGUGAGGGUAGCUGAAGGUACUGUACGAAUAAGCACCGGCUAACUCCGUG